Molecule: long non-coding RNA, 2571 nt
Organism: Canis lupus familiaris (dog)
Lineage: Eukaryota; Metazoa; Chordata; Mammalia; Carnivora; Canidae
Exons: 2
Source: RefSeq, a predicted model, not a curated record
AAAACAAAUAGGAAAAAAGAGAGGGAGACAAACCAAGAAAACCAAGAAAAAGACUUUUAACUAUAGAGGCCAAACUAAUGGUUACCAGAUGGGGGUAAGGGGAUGGGGACUAAGAAUACACUUAUCAUGAUGUGUUGAGCACUGAGUUAACAUGUAGAAUUGCUGAAUAGCUAUAUUGUACACCUGAAACUACUAUAACCCUGUUAACUAUACUGUAAUUAAAAAUUUAAAACGUAAAAGUCUCCACUUCUAUAGAAAACUCUCCUGUUAUUUGCUGUGGGAAGAUGAGGUACACGAGGUACACAGGGGUUUCAGUAAAAGGUACCAAGUGUAACCUCUUUAGGGAGUACAUUUUUCCUCCAUAUUUAUGCUGUCAGGGAUUCUUCUAGAACAGGAUUUAUUAGCCUGGUUCCAUAUAUGAAUUUGAAGGUGUUCUUCAGCUCCCUGGCAUUGUACACACAAUUUUAUAUAUGCAGAAUCCUCAGUGGUGGUCUUAACAGAGUUUGUCCAACUUUACUGUGCAGAGAAUAACUCAGUAAGGCUACAGAAUCACUUUCACUGGAGUCUCCAAAAAGAUUACUAUAAAUUCAAGUUACUAUAGAUCACAGAUUUAAUAUAAGCUCACGGAUUACUAUAAACCCACAUCUCCUAGACCAGAUUUAUAUUAAACAGGAGAAAUAGCUGAGCAAAAGAAAAAUGUCAUUAGAUACUGAAAAUGUUUCCCACAUCUCCUGUUCCUUCAGGUCCUGUGGUUCCAGGCCAUCGGUGGGAAGUAUGACGAGGCCUGAGAAAUAACCAUUGUUAUUUCCAAGGCUGGUGAGAAUGCCAAUACCUAUAGAAAUUCAUCCAAUCAAAGGAAAAGGUUUCCACUCACAAUCUUCUCACGAUAUUCACCAAUCUAUCUGAAAAUAUCCACGGAAAGUGAAUUUAUACUUGAAAAGAUUUCUGAAAUGAAACUUAUGCUAGGUCACCUUCAGGUUUCCCAAUGGCUGCUAAAGUUGUCUGGAUGCAUUAUCGAUUGUAUGUACCUCAUGACUAAACAUUACUUGGAACAUUAUUCAUUAAUCUUGCAUAAUCAAAUGGAAUGGGAAAUGCCUAGAGGUUAUGUAUCUGUGACCUGCACAUUGUAACAUGGAAUUCCCUAGAAAGAAUACCUCUCUGGGAAUCUUCAGACAAAAAGGCAAUCAAAUUAACUUAUUACUCUAUUGUUGAAAUAAGUUAGAGGUGAGAAUAGUAAUUCUCUGGUAGUUUUUCCACUAGUGAUCAGGAAUGGGCUUGCACAGCAGCCCUACCACAGAGAGAAAAGCAGGAAUGUAUCCACCUGUAGUGUUUUGAAAAGUCUUCACAGUACAAUUAGAUUUAAAUCUUUACGGUAAACUUAUAGGUGCAGCAACAUCAUGUCCAAAAUGCAAAGCCCUUAUCCAUGAAUCAACAUGUGCUAUCCCACUGACCAUCCUCCUGUUCUGAGAAUCAAAGUAUCCACUUGAGAAACUCUCACAUUACAGGGUCACACUCAGAGUUGGAAAAUACGGGUUCAAAUCUCAACUCUGACAUUACAAGUGCCAUCAAGUUAGCCAACUUUUCUGAGUCUAGAUUUUCUCUGUUAAUGUAAACAGGUCAAACUCUUAACCAAGGCUGUUGUGAGGAUGAAAUGAGAUUAAGAGCAACCAAGAACACAACCUACUUAUGAAAGUUUGGCGAGUCCAAGUAACAGUUUCUUCAUGUAAAUGGUCGCUUUGAAGAGAGAGGAGAUUCCGAGCUACCUGUGAAGGAGAUGCGUUUGGAGGUUGCAGGAGAAUCUGUCAGCUCCUUCUCUGCCUGGCUGGACGACGCUGCAAGAAAAAGCAGAAGAUGCGAUAUAGCAGCCAGGCCAGGCCAGCUCCCAGAGGGUUUGUGUUGGGUGAAAAUCAACAUUCAUUUAUAGCACAGGAUUUUCUUGAAACACCAAAAUUCAAGUAGGAUGAGCAUCCGGGCUGACUUCUCAAGCAUGCUGGAAAAGAAGCAAGUGUUCCUCUUUCCUCACUAAGGAAGAAAGAUAAAGAAAUGGACUAAAAUGCUCUGAGGUAGAUUAAUCUAAAUUCAGUGUACUGACCUCCCCCAAACAACACACAUCCUGCUGGCCCAUGGAGGGCAGUAGGGUUGAGAGUGGAUGGGAGAGUCUCACCAGUUGCUCUGCCGACCACCAGUCAACUUGAGUACCAGACACACUCUGCACAGAGGUGAUCAACUAUGUGCUCCCACCUUUACUGUUCCAGUGCUUGGAAUCACAGCACAGCACAUCACAGGAGACCCAAUAAAUGUGACCUGAGAAAGGUUCACACAGAUAUCUGCAUACAAAUACUUGGGGGGAAAAAAAUCAAGUUUGGGUUUAGCAACCUGCUUUGGGGAAAAAGUAAUUGGAGAAUGGAACAGGUAGGACAUGAAUCCAACUUAUAAUCUAGCCAAUGCUCCAGGCACCAGUGUUUGUCUUCAGAGUGGGUGGUAAGGGGGAAGGUCUCUCUGCUUACCCAAAACAAACCCAUUCUACCAAAAAAAAAAAAAAAAAAAAAAAACACUAAUUAGUGAGGAGAG